RNAcentral lists this ribosomal RNA (248 nucleotides) under uncultured bacterium. RNAcentral describes it as "partial 16S ribosomal RNA". It matches the Rfam family "Bacterial small subunit ribosomal RNA", at positions 524 to 775 of the family's 1533-position model. The record is from RNAcentral.
UACGAAGGGGCUAGCGUUGCUCGGAAUCACUGGGCGUAAAGCGCACGUAGGCGGAUCUUUAAGUCAGGGGUGAAAUCCCAAGGCUCAACCUUGGAACUGCCUUUGAUACUGGGAUCUCGAGUCCGGAAGAGGUUGGUGGAACUGCGAGUGUAGAGGUGAAAUUCGUAGAUAUUCGCAAGAACACCAGUGGCGAAGGCGGCCAACUGGUCCGGUACUAACGCUGAGGUGCGAAGCGUGGGAGCAAACAG